AUGUUCAACUCUGCAGACAUGGUCUUUUCAUUGGAUAAUUUAUUUUAUGAAAGACCAGAUACAAGACAAAGGUAUCUAGAAAAUGAAGAGCCUAAGAUUUGGUCUAUUGCACCUGCUCCAGCUAUUGCUGAAAUUCCAGCUGCAGAGGACUUACAGAGGGAACUGGAAAGAAAUACAGCCAACACUCAUACGGGAACUACAGGAAGAAAACUGGAAAUUUUGAGGAGUGUUACAGAAAUACCAACCCAAUUUAGAAGUAUCUUUAAGGAGUUCCCAUAUUUUAACUAUGCACAGUCUAAAGCUUUGGAUGAUCUUCUUUAUACAGAUAGGAAUUUUGUGAUUUGUGCUCCGACUGGCUCUGGAAAAACUGUAAUGUUUGAGCUAGCUAUUACCAGAUUACUCAUGGGAGCCCCACUGCCUUGGUUUAACAUUAAAGUUGUUUACAUGGCUCCAAUAAAAGCUCUAUGCAGUCAGCGUUUUGAUGAUUGGAAAGAAAAAUUUGGACCUAUAGGACUCAGCUGCAAGGAAAUAACAGGAGAUACAGUGAUGGAUGAUUUAUUUGAAAUACAUCACGCUCACAUUAUUAUCACUACACCUGAAAAAUGGGAUAGCAUGACUAGAAGAUGGAGAGACAACUCUAUAGUCCAGCUUGUACGACUGUUUCUCAUUGAUGAGGUGCACGUUAUAAAGGAUGAAAGUCGUGGUGCAACGUUAGAAGUUGUAGUCAGUCGGAUGAAGACUCUUCAGUCUUCUCUUUGUCAUCUUAUAGAGAAACAUGACACUAUUCCGCCCUUGAGAUUUGUAGCAGUUUCUGCAACAAUCCCAAACGCUGAAGAUGUAAGAGUUACAUUUUAA
RNAcentral lists this long non-coding RNA (855 nucleotides) under Falco tinnunculus (common kestrel). RNAcentral describes it as "lncRNA (ENSFTIG00000015146.1)". Lineage: Eukaryota; Metazoa; Chordata; Aves; Falconiformes; Falconidae. The record is from RNAcentral.